UCGGUUCAGCGCCUGGUUAUCCGUAUGGGAAACCAGCUCGACCUUCACUGUGUCGGCUGGCGGAUCAUACACUUUACUUUGAAAAAAUUAGAGUGUUUCAGGCAGGCAAUUGCUUGGAUACUGUAGCAUGGAAUAAUGGAAUAGGACUUUGACCUAUUUGUUGGUUUCUCGAGGUCAAAGUAAUGAUUAAUAGGGACAGUUGGGGGCAUUCGUAUUUAAUUGUCAGAGGUGAAAUUCUUGGAUUUUUUAAAGACGAACUUAAGCGAAAGCAUUUGCCAAGAAUGUCUUCGUUAAUCAAGAACGAAAGUCAGGGGAUCGAAGGCGAUUAGAUACCGCCCUAGUUCUGACCGUAAACGAUACCAUCUAGCGAUCCGAUAGGGUCUAUCUAGCCUUGUCGGGGAGCUUCCCGGAAACGAAAGUCUUUCGGUUCCGGGGGUAGUAUGGUUGCAAAGCUGAAACUUAAAGAAAUUGACGGAAGGGCACCACCAGGAGUGGAGCUUGCGGCUUAAUUUGACUCAACACGGGAAAACUCACCCGGUCCGGACACCGUAAGGAUUGACAGACUGAUAGCUCUUUCUUGAUUCGGUGGUUGGUGGUGCAUGGCCGUUCUUAGUUGGUGGAGUAAUUUGUCUGGUUUAUUCCGAUAACGAGCGAGACUCUAGCCUGCUAAAUAGAACGAGGAUAAACCUUUUCAUAGGUCCUCGAUGCUUCUUAGAGGAAUUAGCGG
This 727-nucleotide ribosomal RNA is filed under the name uncultured eukaryote. RNAcentral's name for it is "bacterial SSU rRNA". It matches the Rfam family "Eukaryotic small subunit ribosomal RNA", at positions 679 to 1426 of the family's 1831-position model. The record is from RNAcentral.